RNAcentral lists this ribosomal RNA (527 nucleotides) under uncultured bacterium. RNAcentral describes it as "bacterial SSU rRNA". It matches the Rfam family "Bacterial small subunit ribosomal RNA", at positions 8 to 526 of the family's 1533-position model. The record is from RNAcentral.
AGAGUUUGAUCCUGGCUCAGGAUGAACGCUAGCGGCAGGCUUAAUACAUGCAAGUCGAGGGGCAGCAGGACUGUAGCAAUACAGUUGCUGGCGACCGGCAAACGGGUGCGGAACACGUACGCAACUUACCCAAAACUGGGGAAUAGCCCGGGGAAACCCGGAUUAAUACCUCGUAACAUAAUGAAGUGGCAUCACUUUAUUAUUAUAGCUCCGGCGGUUUUGGAUGGGCGUGCGCCUGAUUAGGUAGUUGGCGGGGUGACGGCCCACCAAGCCUACGAUCAGUAACUGGUGUGAGAGCACGACCAGUCACACGGGCACUGAGACACGGGCCCGACUCCUACGGGAGGCAGCAGUAAGGAAUAUUGGUCAAUGGACGCAAGUCUGAACCAGCCAUGCCGCGUGAAGGAUGAAGGUCCUCUGGAUUGUAAACUUCUUUUAUAUGGGAAGAAAUCCAUCUUUUCUUGGGUGGUUGACGGUACCAUAGGAAUAAGCACCGGCUAACUCCGUGCCAGCCGCCGCGGUAAUUC